CUAAACGAAGUUAAACUCUCACAUUCUCUCAAACCUAUGCGGUUCAAUGCAUCGACCUCAGAGAGUCUCUUCCUCUUCUACUCUUCUAGUCUUCUUCUUCCAAAAAGUCUUCAAUUCCAAGCUCAAAUACAACUCUUCUAGUCUUUUUCUUCCUCUCCUGAAAUUGCAGUUCGUUGGGUUUGUGUUUGGAGCAAGGCCAAAAGGGUGACUAAUGCGAUUUAAUCUGGGGAGCAAAUUGGGAGCAAUCUGAUUUUGCAGAUUUUUCAGUAAUUUAAGACUGAAUGAGCACUUUUCUGGGUUGACGAAAUUGGGAAUGCUGGGUUGCUGCAAUCCUUGGAUUGGUGGAGCACUCUUAAGGUACAUGAUAUGUACAACUGCGAUCGGACUGGCCUACGCGCGCAUUGCUGCAAAUUCCAUUAGCAGUACUCUACUUCUUGUGAACAGGGAAACGGCUAGUAGAACACGAUGGAGUUGUUCUGUUUGAGUUUUAUGGUGAUAAGAUUAGUACGCUUCAUUUUACAAGCAAGCCUUCUCUAGUAAGGCUGUGUCAUUCCUUCUAGCUACGGGAGUGGGUACAGGCCUAGGGUUUGCUGAUGGUACUGCUGUUAGAAAGAAAAUUAUCGAUGAGAGUUUGGCCUUUCUCUCCAGCUUUCUAUCAUCCCUAUAUAUUCUGUCGAAAUUACAUCCUUUUUUUUAACAUCUAGACAAUUUUAACCAUUUACUCAAGAUGGCAAAUCUCUCCGCGGCCUUCCUACUCAUGGCUUGCAUUUGCACCGGAGCAUCGUCGAUAAUAUCUUCUUUGGCACUAUCCAACAAACAAGAGAAAACCAAUCAGACUACUCAAAGCGGAAGUACUUGAUUCAUAAUUUGUAUAUUUACUAUAUAUAUUGCGUACGUAUGCGUAUGUAAUGACCCUUAAGCCAUCCUUCAAUCCUUCAUAUAAACUAUUCUUGGAUCCGGAUCCUGAAAGCGGAAGUACUUGAUUAAUAAUUUGUAUAUUUACUAUAUAUAUUGCGUACGUAUACGUAUGUAAUGACCC
Molecule: long non-coding RNA, 1039 nt
Organism: Rosa rugosa (rugosa rose)
Lineage: Eukaryota; Viridiplantae; Streptophyta; Magnoliopsida; Rosales; Rosaceae
Exons: 5
Source: RefSeq, a predicted model, not a curated record